Oncorhynchus mykiss (rainbow trout) is the source of this 3295-nucleotide non-coding RNA. The record is from RefSeq and is a predicted model, not a curated record. NCBI's taxonomy places the organism in Eukaryota, Metazoa, Chordata, Actinopteri, Salmoniformes, Salmonidae.
GAUAAAGAGGUGUGGUUGAGUUUUCAUAUAGUCUGUGGACACUGGUGCAAGUUGGUGCCGAUAUCACGACGACAAAAUAUCUACUGUACCUGUAGAAGCAGAUGUUUGAAGAAUGAAUAUCGUCCCAGGUCAAAUCCAGUUCCAAUUACAAUUACCAACGGUGUCUGUGGUUCCAAGGAAAACGGAUCCAAUUAUAAAAUGCAUUAUUGACAGAAAGUUGGAGAAACUAAAGAAAUUGAUUAGAGGCGGCAAGGACUUGAAUGGACAGUACCCUUGUGCUGAGUGGAAGGAUGAUGUUACCCCUUUAAUUGCUGCUGUUGCAUUUACAAAUGACAAUAUUUGUACAUUUCUUCUGAAAGAAGGUGCUGACCCCAACAUCCAAUCAACAAAUGGUUGGGUUCCUUUGCAUUAUGCCGCAAUGUCAAAAGCUCCUGUCAGUUUAGUGAGUAGAUUAAUUGCAGCAAAAGCAGAUCCAGAAGGGGCACCAAUCCAGAUGUUAACUCCACUUCAAUUGGCGGCUAACAAUGACAGAGAAGACAUUGUGAAGGAGUUGAUGAUGUCUGGAGCAUUUGCUGAAAGAAAUCUCAAAGUAUAUCCCGCUACUGACCAAAAGAUAGCAAGCAUGAUUCAGAAAUUCUCUUCAGAGAGUGAGAAUUUUGUCAAAUUGAAGAUUUUUUAUGAUUUUUCUUGUGCAAUAGGACUCAAAUCAGUGGAGGAUGUUUUCAAUGAAUAUGGCAAACACAUGCUGGUGGUGAACCCUGUGAAUCAUCUCACACUAUAUGACAUGUCUUUUAACGCCAUUGGACAAAAUGCGGAUCAGUAUCGUCAAGCAUCCAUAAAGUGGCUGAGAGAAUCUCAGAAAAUUGAUCUCUACAUUGAGGAGGCAACCAAUCGUUUGCCUAAAAUUCCCAAACAUUUACAAGAUAUGGUAGUGAAUUGCUUGACAGCCGUUUUUAACAUUAUGAAAGAAAUAUCUCUUGGACUGUCACUGGUAGUAAUACCCACUCUUCUGCAAUACCUCACACAUGAAUCCAAAAGUACUCCUCAAGGACUAAAUCGCAACAUUUCAGUUGUCAGACUACUGUAUGUGAUUACUCAGAAAGCUCCAAAUCACAAACAUGGCUGGACCCUCCCUUUUGUUGAGGAGUUAUGCAAGAGGAUCAUCUCAUUCACUGAUCAAGCAUAUCUCGCCAAUCCUCAGACCUCCAGCUUAGGUGUCUUUACAUUUGGUUUGCUUGCAGAUCUGUACACCUUUGAUUGUGUACCUGCGAUUAUCACAUCACGAGGGAUAACCUCUGUGCCGGAGAAAAUACUUGUUACUGCUGAAAUGGAGAUGGAUGAGGACCUGAAAGAAAAGCUAAGGAAAUUAGAUGUGUCCCUACGAAGUCCAGUCCCACCAACGGAUACAACUGAACAAUUGCAGGGAAUGAAUCUGUCAAAGAAGAAGAAGAAGAAGAAGAAGAAAAAGAAGAAAACAAUUCAGGAAGAGUUGUCGGUAGAGAAAAGUACACCUGACAUGACUGAGAAGCCAGAUCUUGAUGCUUCAUCAAUUCCAGUUGAAGAAUCUGGUGUACAUGAUGAACAUUCCAGUGUUAAACCAUUUCCCUCCACCACCGACGAAUUGAAACCCCGGAAAUGGCACAAAGUUAGUGAGCGGUGGAGGCCUCAGUUGGAGGAACUCAGCAACAUAGAUGCAGGCAAGGUUUACAGAUUGGGCAAUCUCAAUCUUGUCGUCCAUCCGGAUUUCCAAAUAGCCAAAGGAAGUGAUGGAACUGAAGUCUUUCUGGGCUUGAAGGAUGAUGGUACUGAGGUAGCCGUGAAGAGAAUGCUCAAGUCAAACUAUCAAGAUCUGAAGAGAGAAGAGGGUUUUUUUAAGACUACCUCAGCUGGAUAGUCCCUGCAUUGUGAGAUAUGUGGACUUUGCAGAGGACGAGCACUUCGGUUACCUUGUUCUUCAGCUCUGUGAAUACACCCUUGAUGAAUACAUCAAAGACCACCUACCAGAGGACAAAACCCCUGUCCUGAAGAAAAUAGUGCACGAGGUGCUCUGCAGUCUAAGCGUUCUGCAUAGUCUAAACACAAAAAUUCUGCACCGGGAUAUCAAACCCCAGAAUGUUUUAAUAGAUGUUACAGGCAGAGCGAGAUUAGCCGAUUUCGGUAUAAGUCGACAAUUGAACAUGGGACAAACAACUCUACAUACAAUCAGUGCAGGAACAAAAUGUUGGAAGGCCAGAGAAACUUUAGAUGAAGACAGUGGGAUCGGAUAUAAGAGGAGCACCGAUAUUCAGGUGGCCGGGAUGUUAAUGUAUUACAUCAUCUCUGGUGGACAUCAUCCAUUUGGCAAAGGCAUCCAUUGUGAAGUUAACAUUUUUCAAGGGAAGUACACACUGGAACAUGUUGAGGAGGAAGUGGCCAAGGACCUCAUUGAGUGGAUGAUCAAUGAAGACCCAGAGAAGAGACCUACAGUGGAGGACACACUGGCCCACCCAUACUUCUGGCCAGAGGAGAGGAGAGUGGAGUACUUACGAAAAAUUGGUAACGAGAAGGAAGCAGAGAACUGUCGCAAAGCAGAACCAAGCCUCCUUCAUGCUUUGGACCAGUGUGCUGAGGCGAGGUCGUUCACAAAGUGGAAGUCCAAGAUGCCGCCUGAGUUGAUGAAGAAGUUGGAUGGUAAAAAGAAGGCCUACCCAGACAACACAUUGGGUUUGUUGCGCUUCAUACGCAACCUUCAUGAGCACUACACUGAGGAUGCGGAUUCUGUUGACAUAUUGACAAUGUUCCCUGAUCUCUUUGGAUGCGUCUACAAGUUUGCGAAGAAAAUGGAGUGGAAUUCAAGAAGUAGUCUGAAGAAAUUGUUUCACAGAGAAGAUGUAAGAUAAUGAUUCUGACGAUUGGAAGAUUAACACUGACUAACUUCUGAAAUCUUGGCUUGACUUUUCUGUUGCCAUUAAAUGAGUCACUAGUGUUAAGUGUUAGAUGAAUGUUCUCUAGAGGAAAUCAAGAGGCUAUGCAGCACUCUGCCUCUGUUUGCCUACUUGGUGUUUUGGCCAUUUUCUUACAUCAUUAUAACAGUACUUAUCUCAUAAGCUAACAUGAAAUAUAUACAAUAUUUUUGAUUAGAAUAUGAAAUGUAACGAUACUUUGUAAUAUUAUUCAAUUUGCCUCAGUUUAUUCAUGGUUUGUUUACUGUAUGUAUAAUAGCAAUGACACAUACUGUACAUACAUACAACUUCUCUGUUGAAAAGUAUUGAAACGAGCUGAAUCUAUUAAUAAAGUGUAACAUCUGAAUAGUAUA